UGGAGCAUGUGGUUUAAUUCGAAGCAACGCGAAGAACCUUACCAGGCCUUGACAUGCAGAGAACUUUCCAGAGAUGGAUUGGUGCCUUCGGGAACUCUGACACAGGUGCUGCAUUGGCUGUCGUCAGCUCGUGUCGUGAGAUGUUGGGUUAAGUCCCGUAACGAGCGCAACCCUUGUCCUUAGUUACCAGCACGUUAUGGUGGGCACUCUAAGGAGACUGCCGGUGACAACCGGAGGAAGGUGGGGAUGACGUCAAGUCAUCAUGGCCCUUACGGCCUGGGCUACACACGUGCUACAAUGGUCGGUACAAAGGGUUGCCAAGCCGCGAGGUGGAGCUAAUCCCAUAAAACCGAUCGUAGUCCGGAUCGCAGUCUGCAACUCGACUGCGUGAAGUCGGAAUCGCUAGUAAUCGUGGAUCAGAAUGUCACGGUGAAUACGUUCCCGGGCCUU
This 450-nucleotide ribosomal RNA is filed under the name uncultured Pseudomonas sp. RNAcentral describes it as "bacterial SSU rRNA". It matches the Rfam family "Bacterial small subunit ribosomal RNA", at positions 933 to 1382 of the family's 1533-position model. The record is from RNAcentral. Lineage: Bacteria; Pseudomonadati; Pseudomonadota; Gammaproteobacteria; Pseudomonadales; Pseudomonadaceae.